GAGACAGCAGUCGCCGCGGGAAUACGAAGGGGGCUAGCGUUGUUCGGAAUCACUGGGCGUAAAGCGCACGUAGGCGGAUUGUUAAGUCAGGGGUGAAAUGCCAAGGCUCAACCUUGGAACUGCCUUUGAUACUGGCAAUCUCGAGUCCGGGAGAGUUGAGUGGAACUGCGAGUGUAGAGGUGAAAUUCGUAGAUAUUCGCAAGAACACCAGUGGCGAAGGCGGCUCACUGGCCCGGUACUGACGCUGAGGUGCGAAAGCGUGGGGAGCAAACAGGAUUAGAUACCCCAGUAGUCCCUGUCUCUUAUAC
This 308-nucleotide ribosomal RNA is filed under the name uncultured bacterium. Its description in RNAcentral is "partial 16S ribosomal RNA". It matches the Rfam family "Bacterial small subunit ribosomal RNA", at positions 505 to 807 of the family's 1533-position model. The record is from RNAcentral.